This 757-nucleotide ribosomal RNA is filed under the name uncultured Anaerococcus sp. Its description in RNAcentral is "bacterial SSU rRNA". It matches the Rfam family "Bacterial small subunit ribosomal RNA", at positions 28 to 776 of the family's 1533-position model. Lineage: Bacteria; Bacillati; Bacillota; Tissierellia; Tissierellales; Peptoniphilaceae. The record is from RNAcentral.
GAUGAACGCUAGCGACAGGCUUAACACAUGCAAGUCGAGGGGCAUCGGGGAGUAGCAAUACUCUGCCGGCGACCGGCGCACGGGUGCGUAACGCGUAUGCAACUUACCUUACAGAGGGGGAUAACCCGUUGAAAGACGGACUAACACCGCAUAUUCUUAUAUUAUCGCAUGAUAGAGUAAGGAAAUAUUUAUAGCUGUAAGAUAGGCAUGCGUCCCAUUAGCUAGUUGGUAGGGGUAACGGCUCACCAAGGCAACGAUGGGUAGGGGAACUGAGAGGUUUAUCCCCCACACUGGUACUGAGACACGGACCAGACUCCUACGGGAGGCAGCAGUGAGGAAUAUUGGUCAAUGGGCGAGAGCCUGAACCAGCCAAGUCGCGUGAAGGAUGAAGGUCUUAUGGAUUGUAAACUUCUUUUGCGGGAGAAUAACGGGCGCUACGAGUAGUGUUAUGAAUGUAUCCCAGCGAAUAAGCAUCAGCUAACUCCGUGCCAGCAGCCGCGGUAAUACGGAGGAUGCGAGCGUUAUCCGGAUUUAUUGGGUUUAAAGGGUGCGUAGGCGGCUUUUUAAGUCGGCGGUGAAAGGUUCGGGCUCAACCCGGACAUUGCCGUUGAAACUGGGGAGCUUGAGUAUGGAUGAGGUAGGCGGAAUGCGUGGUGUAGCGGUGAAAUGCAUAGAUAUCACGCAGAACUCCGAUUGCGAAGGCAGCUUACUAAGGCAUUACUGACGCUGAAGCACGAAAGCGUGGGUAUCAAACAGG